CUCCCGUAUUAACUUCCGCGUUAAAAUUUAAAUGUAAGACGGGGGCCCGCACUAGCGGUGGAGCUUGCGGCUUACUUUGCCGCAACGUGAAGAACCUCACCCCGGCAUUACAUACACUGGAAACGUCCACAGAUGGGCGCCCCCUGUGUCGGUGUACAGGUGGUGCAUGCUGUCGUGAGCGCGUGUCGUUAGAUGUUGGGUUAAGUCCCGCAACGAGCGCAACCCUUGUCCCGUGUUGCCAGCAGGCCCAUGUGGUGAGGGGACUCACGGGAGACAGCCGGGGUCAACUAGGAGGAAGGUGGGGACGACGUCAAGUCAUCAUGCCCGUUCAUGUCUUGGGCUGCACACAUGCUACAAUCGCCGGUACAUUGAGAUGCGAUACCGCGAGGUGGAGCGAAUCUAAAAAAGCCGGUCUCUGUUCGUACUGGGGUGUGUAACUCGACCCCCUGAAGUAGGUGUCGCUCGUUAUUGAAGAUGAGYAKGAUGCGGYGAAUACGUUCCYGGGCSUCGUACACMCCGCCSGYCRUGUCACGAAAGUCAGGUAMUAGCCMGGAUG
This 556-nucleotide ribosomal RNA is filed under the name Streptomyces sp. Its description in RNAcentral is "bacterial SSU rRNA". It matches the Rfam family "Bacterial small subunit ribosomal RNA", at positions 870 to 1429 of the family's 1533-position model. Lineage: Bacteria; Bacillati; Actinomycetota; Actinomycetes; Kitasatosporales; Streptomycetaceae. The record is from RNAcentral.